Long non-coding RNA from Pseudophryne corroboree (corroboree frog), 623 nucleotides. RefSeq lists it as uncharacterized. The transcript is spliced from 2 exons. NCBI's taxonomy places the organism in Eukaryota, Metazoa, Chordata, Amphibia, Anura, Myobatrachidae. The record is from RefSeq and is a predicted model, not a curated record.
ACUAACCAAUCACCUCCUGUCAUUUUUAUCACCUGUGUUUGAAAAAUGACAGGAGCUGAUUGGUUGGUACUAUAUCUCCCGCCACUUUAUAUCUCCCCAAUGUUUGACACAUCUCCCUCAGAUUGCUCAGGGGUAGCAGGAUUUAUUGAGAGGGUGAAGUGCUGUAAAUUAUCAAUCUGCCUGACAAGUCACUUAUAGUGACAUAUUAUUGUAGAAUAUUGAAUAGAAAUAUCAGAAUCCUUUGAUCUCAGCUAAUAUGUGCCUGUUCCUUAUUUAGGCUGUUGCGUUAACACAAAUAUCACAAUCAGUGUAAUGGAAGAAGGGGACAUGGAUUACCCCUGGGAGAUCUCAACAACGUUCAUGUCCUUGUUUGUCCUGAGCCUGGUCUAUAGCAUCACUGUAACUCUGUUUAAGGUAAAAUAAGAUCCACAAUCUUCUUCGGUCUCUGUCCAGCAACAGACAGAACAGGACAAUCAUACUAUGAAUAUAAAUGACUGAAUGCCUGUAAUAUGUGAAAACUGUUGAAUAAUGAUCUCAUCACCUUUUUUACCAUGUAAAUAACAAAGUUAUAAAUCUAGUAAAUGCGAUUACGGCUUUCUCGAAUAAAAGUAUAUUUCUGAUUG